This 332-nucleotide long non-coding RNA is filed under the name Homo sapiens (human). RNAcentral's name for it is "HSALNT0258850". Lineage: Eukaryota; Metazoa; Chordata; Mammalia; Primates; Hominidae. The record is from RNAcentral.
CAUGGGUGUGCGGAAAGCUAAGCUGCUUGCCGACAGCAGGAAGGGGGUCUGGCCUGGGCUAAGCAUGAAUUUGGGGUGCAGGGUCUGAAGCUGAGGCAGAUUCCCCAGGCAGAGCUGACAUCAGCCCCGCAGGUACUCAUCAUGUCACAUGCAAAAAACAUCUUCAAGGUCACAUACACUUGAGAAAGGCAGGGUAAAAGAGUUAAGUAAGAUUCUUUUUUUUUCUUUUGAGACAGAGUCUCAUUCUUCUGUCGCCCAGGCUGAAGUGCAGUGGUGUGAUCUCAGUUCACUGCAUCCUCUGCCUCCAGGGUUCAAGCGAUUCUCCUGCCUCA